Molecule: ribosomal RNA, 533 nt
Filed under: uncultured bacterium
Lineage: Bacteria
Description: partial 16S ribosomal RNA
Rfam family: Bacterial small subunit ribosomal RNA
Source: RNAcentral
GGGGAAUAUUGCACAAUGGGCGAAAGCCUGAUGCAGCGACGCCGCGUGCGGGAUGAAGGCCUUCGGGUUGUAAACCGCUUUUAAUUGGGAGCAAGCGAGAGUGAGUGUACCUUUUGAAUAAGCACCGGCUAACUACGUGCCAGCAGCCGCGGUAAUACGUAGGGUGCAAGCGUUAUCCGGAAUUAUUGGGCGUAAAGAGCUCGUAGGCGGUUUGUCACGCCUGGUGUGAAAGUCCAUCGCUUAACGGUGGAUCUGCGCCGGGUACGGGCAGGCUAGAGUGCAGUAGGGGAGAUUGGAAUUCCCGGUGUAACGGUGGAAUGUGUAGAUAUCGGGAAGAACACCAAUGGCGAAGGCAGAUCUCUGGGCUGUUACUGACGCUGAGGAGCGAAAGCAUGGGGAGCGAACAGGAUUAGAUACCCUGGUAGUCCAUGCCGUAAACGGUGGAUGCUGGAUGUGGGACCCUUCCACGGGUUCCGUGUCGGAGCUAACGCGUUAAGCAUCCCGCCUGGGGAGUACGGCCGCAAGGCUAAAAC